UACGUAGGUCCCGAGCGUUGUCCGGAUUUAUUGGGCGUAAAGCGAGCGCAGGUGGUUUAUUAAGUCUGGUGUAAAAGGCAGUGGCUCAACCCUUGUAUGCAUUGGAAACUGGUAGACUUGAGUGCAGGAGAGGAGAGUGGAAUUCCAUGUGUAGCGGUGAAAUGCAUAGAUAUAUGGAGGAACACCGGUGGCGAAAGCGGCUCUCUGGCCUGUAACUGACACUGAGGCUCGAAAGCGUGGGGAGCAAACAGG
This 252-nucleotide ribosomal RNA is filed under the name uncultured bacterium. RNAcentral describes it as "partial 16S ribosomal RNA". It matches the Rfam family "Bacterial small subunit ribosomal RNA", at positions 524 to 776 of the family's 1533-position model. The record is from RNAcentral.